UAGGGGGAGUGAAGGACAGUUUUAAGUGCUGAAUGUUUUUGCCCUGUUCUGCUCAGAAGAAGGAGAGAAGAGUCAAGAGCAGCAGCCCUCCUCUUUCUGAAUGGAGCUGUGUGCUAUCAGACUGAUAGGAUCAGCAAACUUCCGAAAGCCUGCAGGGAGCAACAGGAGAGAAUUGACUGUCUGCAAGGACGUUGCCCAGGGGACACCCGGAUGUUUUGAUGUUUUACCAUCCUUGUGGGAGGCUUCUCUCAUGUCCCCGCAUGGAGCUGGAGCUGAUAGAGGGAGCUCAUCCGCGCUCUCCCCGGGUGGGAUUCGAACCUGGCAGCCUUCAGGUCAGCAACCCAACCUUCAAGUCAUGAGGCUUUUAUCCCCUAGGCCACUGGAGGCUCCAUAAUAUCAGUGCUGAAUUAUGGUUACCACUUUUUUCUGAGAGACUCAUCAACUUUAAUAUCUUGAUGGCAGGUACGUACAACUUGGUCCUUUCCAUACUUGGAAUAGUUGUACCUUCUGAUUUUGACCAGUUCAAAUUUGAGGCAGCAGAGGCAGAGGCGGCGGCAAUGGGGGAGGGGUAUUUCAAUGUGUUUUGAGAGAUGAGAUUUACAACAAUUCAUACAUUUCUUCCUAUUAGACUUGGGGAAGAGCUCAUGCUUUUUAGUGAUCCAAGAAAGACAAUACAGGAGCAAAUGAAAUUGGCAGGUUCUUCCUGCUGUAAACAAUAUUCUGUGGUUGAGAGGAGAAUCGAAUCCUGGCUUCCUACAGUUGGGGUCUGAAAUCAUUACACAAUACUAGCACUUUUUGUGUCAUAUGAUACCUCUUUACAACCAUCACUUGGGCUCACUCUUACUACACCAUUCGAGGCAGGCAAGAGGGAGUGGAGAGAUGACUAUGGAAGGCUAUAGCUUUCUUGAUCCCCUCUGAGGUCUUACUCACUUGGCUCCACUUCUCCACUGCUCAAGAUUUUCUUUUGCAAAGAAGUCCAUCCUUCUCCAUCCUUCCAGUGUCGUGCUGGAGGAGGAGGCUAUAGCUUUUCUUGAUCCUCUCUCACUUGGUUCCACUUCUCUACUGUUCAAGAUUUUCAUCACCAUAAGCCCUCUUCACUAACUCUAUAGUUUUCAAAAACAAACAAUAGGGGAAAUCAUUAAAUUAUUCAUUCUCCUCUGCAAGAACAGCACAUCCCGAAAUGUUAUCCCAUGUAUGAAAGCACAUGCAGUCAUAACCAAAAUAUAGAUAGAGGGGAAUUCAAAUCAAUCUGGGAUGAGGAUUGUGCGCUCAUUAUAUAUGAGCAAGAUUGCAUGAAAUGCUGAGUGCAUAAUAACCCCAUAGCUGCCUGGAUAUGACUCUUGAGCAACAUCUUAAAAGUGCAACUACUAGUGUAAGUGUACUUACAUAGGUACAUGUCACCAACAGAAUUCUAGCCCCAGCAUAAUAUCAAUAUAAGGUUUGAGCAGGAGUGCCAGACAAGAAAUUGACCACUGAGGUUAUUUCACUUUCUCAAUUCUGUAUUUCAGUUGAAGUUCAACAGAGUAGGUGCUAAAGGGGGAGGAGAGAGAGCAAGAAAGAGAGCGAGAACAUGAAUACUGCCAAGCUAAGAAUAUGUUGUAUAGCCUUCAGGGUAAAUGGGAAAAUUUCCACUCAAGUUGAAUAGAGAUGGAUUGCACUCUAGUUACAUCAACAGAAUGCAUAAAUAGAUUUGCCUUUUGCUCAUCUGUUCAAUGCCAGUACACAUUUAAAGUGUUAAUAAAAAUGUUCAGAAAAUAGCCUGGGGAGGGGGAGAGAGAAAAAAUAUAAAUGCUGGGUGCAAAAGGAAACAUUAUGUAAGAAUUCAAAAACACUUCUACUAAAAACUUACAACUUGACCUGUAUUUUCUCGAGAUGAGCAGGGCAAGAAAAAUCACUCUUGAAAUGAUUGAGUGGAUCAUGGUUUUUUUCUCCAUAUGGAUAGCUACAGAACCUUCUGACAAAGGUGAACCACCACACAUUUUUCCAUUUCCAACUCCUCAAGAUCUUGUCAGAUUGCAGAGGCAUCCUUGAACUAACAAACAGUUUACAUCAGGAGUCCUCUGCCUUUGAUUCUCUAGAUCAGCGUGGUCCAACUCGCGGCCCGUGGACUACAUGCGGCCCUGCAAUUCAUUCUUGUUGGUCCUUGCCCUUCUUACUGGAAAAAUAUUUUAAUUUAACAUUUGGAAAAAAAAUCAUCAACCCUUCUUACUGCUUACUAAGGAGCCUCCGGUGGCUCAGUGUGUUAGAGUGCUGAGCUGUUGAACUUGCAGGCCAAAAGGUCCCAGGUUCAAAUCCGGGGAGCAGAGUGAGCGCCCACUCUUAGCUCCAGCUUCUACCAAACUAGCAGUUCGAAAACAUGCAAAUGUGAGUAGAUCAAUAGGUACCGCUCCGGCGGGAAGGUAACGGUGUUCCAUGCAGUCAUGCCGGCCACAUGACCUUGGAGGUGUCUACGGACAACACCGGCUCUUCGGCUUAGAAAUGGAGAUGAGUGUCAGAGUAUUUUGCAGCGCAGCAGUAGUUGGAUGGAAUCAGUGGAAUGCAGAACGAAUAGACAUCAGAGACGUUGGUAAAACUAUAUACAAAGUUUUACUGUAAGCAGUAAUAAUCAAGACAAACAGACUUGCAGACAAACACAGGACUUGACUCUCACUCUAGGCAGACAGAACUCAACUCAGAAUUGAACAGAACUGAUGCAAUCAGGAAUGCAUACACACUUGCGUCUGGACACUCCCCAGUUCCAGCCACACAUCAAGGACAUCACAGCUUCUUAGUAAUUAACUCUUUCUAGACUAUGUUACACUCUGGAUGAUGCAAUCAGUAUGCAAUACAGGCAAGACACAAAUUGCACUUAAAUACUAUCAAUACACAAAUCCCACAUUAACAAUUAGCACCAACCCCCAGAGUCGGACACGACUGGACUUAACAUCAGGGGAAACCUUUACCUUUAGCUUUUACUGCUUACUUAUAAUAUGUAAUUCGUUUUCUUUCUGGAAUGUCUCUGGCCCUCACAUUCCUAUACUAAAGUUUGAUUGGCCCUCCGGUAACUAAAGGUUGGACCACACUACUCUAGAUGGUUUGGACUUCAUUUCCCAUAUCCCUUACCAUGGGUUAUGUCUUUUCAUGUUUCUGAGAAUUGAAGUCCAAAGCA
Molecule: long non-coding RNA, 3148 nt
Organism: Anolis carolinensis (green anole)
Lineage: Eukaryota; Metazoa; Chordata; Lepidosauria; Squamata; Anolidae
Source: Ensembl